RNAcentral lists this ribosomal RNA (449 nucleotides) under uncultured bacterium. RNAcentral describes it as "bacterial SSU rRNA". It matches the Rfam family "Bacterial small subunit ribosomal RNA", at positions 384 to 826 of the family's 1533-position model. The record is from RNAcentral.
UGACGGAGCAACGCCGCGUGAGUGAUGAAGGCUUUCGGGUCGUAAAACUCUGUUGUUAGGGAAGAACAAGUACGAGAGUAACUGCUCGUACCUUGACGGUACCUAACCAGAAAGCCACGGCUAACUACGUGCCAGCAGCCGCGGUAAUACGUAGGUGGCAAGCGUUAUCCGGAAUUAUUGGGCGUAAAGCGCGCGCAGGCGGUUUCUUAAGUCUGAUGUGAAAGCCCACGGCUCAACCGUGGAGGGUCAUUGGAAACUGGGGAACUUGAGUGCAGAAGAGAAAAGCGGAAUUUCCUUGUAUAGGGGUGAAAUGUGUAGAUAUGGGGGAACACCCGUGGGGAGGGGAGGUUUUUGGUGUGUAACUGACGCUGAGGCGCGAAAGAGUGGGGAGCAAACAGGAUUAGAUACCCCGGUAGUCCACGCCCUAAAAGAUUAGUGCUAAGUGUUAG